GAGUUUGAUCUUGGCUCAGGACGAACGCUGGCGGCGUGCUUAACACAUGCAAGUCAUGGGGGCCCGCAAGGGCAACCGGCGAACGGGUGCGUAACACGUGAGCAAUCUGCCUAGAUGUGGGGGAUAGCCGGCCCAACGGCCGGGUAAUACCGCAUACGCUCUUCUUGUGGCAUCACUUGAAGAGGAAACCUCCGGGGCAUCUAGAGGAGCUCGCGGCCUAUCAGCUAGUUGGUGGGGUAAUGGCCUACCAAGGCAUUGACGGGUAGCUGGUCUGAGAGGAUGGCCGGCCACACUGGGACUGAGACACGGCCCAGACUCCUACGGGAGGCAGCAGUGGGGAAUUGUUCGCAAUGGGCGCAAGCCUGACGACGCAACGCCGCGUGGAGGAUGAAGAAUUUCGGUUCGUAAACUCCUGUCGAGCGGGACGAAAGAUUCGCCGGCUAAUACCCGGCGGAAGUGACGGUACCGCUAAAGGAAGCCCCGGCUAACUCCGUGCCAGCCGCCGCAGUAAU
Molecule: ribosomal RNA, 512 nt
Filed under: uncultured Gemmatimonadota bacterium
Lineage: Bacteria; Pseudomonadati; Gemmatimonadota
Also listed under: 1 other name
Description: bacterial SSU rRNA
Rfam family: Bacterial small subunit ribosomal RNA
Source: RNAcentral